Molecule: ribosomal RNA, 251 nt
Filed under: uncultured Microcoleaceae cyanobacterium
Lineage: Bacteria; Bacillati; Cyanobacteriota; Cyanophyceae; Oscillatoriales; Microcoleaceae
Description: partial 16S ribosomal RNA
Rfam family: Bacterial small subunit ribosomal RNA
Source: RNAcentral
UACGGAGGAGGCAAGCGUUAUCCGGAAUGAUUGGGCGUAAAGCGCCCGUAGGCGGCAGUUCAAGUCUGCUGUGAAAGACAGGAGCUCAACUACUGAAAGGCAGUGGAAACUGAACAGCUAGAGUACGGAAGAGGCAGAGGGAAUUCCCGGUGUAGCGGUGAAAUGCGCAGAUAUCGGGAAGAACACCGGUGGCGAAAGCGGCCUGCUGGGCCGGAACUGACACUGAGGGACGAAAGCGAGGGGAGCGAACG